AAUCCAGGAGCACCCGCUGUGGGCAUGGCCCAGGUAUCUGAGCCUGGACCCAAACCCUCAGCUUCCGCAGCGUCAAAGUGGCCCAGUCAACUCCUUCUCCCUCUUUACUCCCCCAGGCAUCAAAUGUCUGCAGGAAGAGACACAGGUUGCCUUUUGGGACCCCAGGGAAAAACACACCACCAGCUUAGCUCCUGGACCUUCCUCACUGUCCCCUCCCAUUCUAGCCUCCCUUGACCCAGAUGCCCUGCUGCUGCUGCCCUGGGUCUUGGGGCAGGCCCUGGGGACCCUGCAGCCCUGUUGAAUCCUGGCUUGAGGUACUGAGGAAACCGUCUUCUUUCUCUGUUUCCGAAACCCCUCCAAGGCAGUUUCCUCUUCCCCCGCUCCUGAUCCUGCUCUUUUCCCCUUCGGAAUGUGCCUCUCCCUCCUCGCUGUCACCGUUCUCUGCGCCAUAUCUCCCGUAAUAAAAACCAGUCCUCGAGUGGCAUCUGUGCCCCUCCCAACAGUUUAGGGCCAUUAUAUUAAAUAAUGAUAAUCACAA
Rattus norvegicus (Norway rat) is the source of this 538-nucleotide non-coding RNA. The record is from RefSeq and is a predicted model, not a curated record. NCBI's taxonomy places the organism in Eukaryota, Metazoa, Chordata, Mammalia, Rodentia, Muridae.